RNAcentral lists this long non-coding RNA (4417 nucleotides) under Coffea arabica (coffee). Its description in RNAcentral is "long non-coding RNA (CARA_LNC006771)". The record is from RNAcentral. Lineage: Eukaryota; Viridiplantae; Streptophyta; Magnoliopsida; Gentianales; Rubiaceae.
AGAUUUCACCUCCUUCUUGGAUAGAUAGGGUUCUUGAGAGUCUUCGCUUGCGCCGCUCAUUGUGUUUCUUGCUUUUGCUCCGUCGCUUUCUUCCUUUCUUCUCAGGUUCUUUCCCCCUUCCUUCCUCUUUCUCUGUUUUUCACUUCUUCUCUUUCUUCUUUAAUUGAAUAUUAAAUAACAGUGCAAGACAAAAUAGAGGUCACAUGUUGGUCUUCUUCUUACAAGUUAAAGGGUAUUUCUCUUUGGUUUUCUCUCUUAAUUACCUCAACUUUCAUUUUUAUUUUUAUUUUUACAAUCUUUCUCUGUAUAGAUUUUUAUUUUUUAUCCUUUUAUGAAAGUAUCUAUUUACCAUCUAUUUUGUUGCUACCGUCUUUUCUUCUAUUGUUUGGAUUUGCAGGUUCGCAUGGUAGCGGUUUCAUCUUCUUGCUCAGGUAUUUCGCUCUAUUUUCUCUUACUGCUAUUUUUUCUUUUUAUUUUGAAUAUCUCCCCUCCUUGAUCUUUCUUUUUUCUUCAAUAAAUUUUUUUUUUACCAUCCAAAAAUUAUCUAUCAUUGUUGUAAUUUUUUCAGAGAUGUCUUUUUUUAAAGAUCUCUGGUUGUUGGUACUUUUAAACGGGAGUUCAGUUUCUUUUUUUGUUAGUUUGUUCUACACAUACAGAGUUUAUGAAUCUAGGGAAGUUGGGAUGAAUUUUAAGUAUUUGAUUUUUUUUUUUUGCAAUAUCAUUAAAAUGUUUAGAUCAUUAUUUGACUUGUGUUUUUUUUUUUCCUAGAGUGUCAUUAUUUAACUUGGCUUAGUGUCUUUAUAGCUCGACAUAUUACUGUUGCUUGGGUAAACAUUUUAGCUUUAGGAAUCAGUGUUUUUUUAUUGCCUUGAAGAUUGCAGGGUGUAAAAAACACUUAUUUAUGUCGAUGUAUUCACCAAGAUUUAGUUCUACCUUUUUUUGGGAUGUCAUUUGCUUUAUUCAUAUAUAGAGGAGAUUUUUAUUGUGCCUAUAGCACAGCAUAUGGUAGCACAGGCCUAAUGUGGACAAGAUUUGCUUCAAACAAGAAGAUUUUGUCUAGGAAAAAAAUCAUAUGAUUUGCUUUAGUAUUUUUAUUUAACAUGCAUUUGCAUUAUAUUUCAGGUUCGAAUCUGCAGUUUGCAUUUGCAGUUGAUGUUUUUAGAGAUUUUAAUAGUUCAGGUUCCAAUCUCAGUCCUCCUUUAUGUUUUGCAUACUGUUUAGACAGAACUAUCCAAAAGAAAGAGAGGUUUAGCUGGUUGGAAUUCAUCAUAUGCGGAAUUUGAUGGUUUUUUUUUUGAUAAAAAAAUCUGGAUUUGUUUUUCUUUUCCCUUUUCUGGUUUUUUCAGUUGGCGUUUUCUUUAAUUUUGGUUUCUUAAUCAAUUUGCUUGAUUAAGCUAGAAUAAUAGUGCAUGCAUGCAUGUCUAUUGUAGUGCAUGUUUGCAUAUCUUAUGCUAAUUAUAUACAAUUUGCAUGUCUUCUUGAACAAUCAUGAACUCAUUUGUGAAAUUGAUCAUUGGCCAAAGUUUCGAGUUACCAAAGGCAUCUUGUGAUGAUACGUAUUUUAAUGACUAUUUGUUAAUAAUUGUUCUUAUAGUACAAAAAAUUAUAAGUCUCUUAGUAAAAUUUGUUGACAGUUUAUAUAGUGAAUCUCAAGUUGAUAAAUGAUCGAAGUUCUUUCUGCAAUUUUUUUGGUUAUAAUAGCAAUUUUAAUUGAUUUUUUGUGUUUGUAGGCAAUCAAAGGUUUGCCCAAGGAUAGGAAAUCUCUAUCAGAUGCUGGGCAGUGGCUUGAAGCAGUGAGUAAAUUAACAAUUUGAUUAAAGACUUUAAAUCAUAUCAUUAACUAGAAAAUGGAUCAAGUUACUGCAUAGCUAUAGUUUUGCCCCUUGUUAUUUUGCACUAAUUAGCUGGAUAAUUUCUUACUUUUGCUUCCAUUAAAAAGUGAAUUACAAUCUUAUCUUUACUUCACUGACCUAUUUCAAUUUAAUUCGUCUUACCUAUUUCAAUCUUUUGUGAUUACGGAUAUAGUUCCAUGCUUGAGAAAAUGACCAAUGAAUGACUUCAUAUUACCUAUUUCAAUGUGAUUGUAUAUUUCCUUUUGUAGACAGCAGCAUGUAGUGGCCCACACAGAUUCACCUGGCAUGCAAUAAAAUUAGUUUUAAAAGUUUUUUUUUUUUGAGUUUAACUAUUUGCUAUUUUGAGUUUUAGAUCAUUGUUGUCUUCUGACAUUGCCAAUUACUUUUUUUUUUGGUAACUUCUAAAAGUCACAUUAGGGACUAGGGGUUGCCCUACUGCAUUGAUAUGAACUGGAUGUGAAACUUUGGAAAUGCAUUCAUAUGUUUAGUGCUUAAUGCCAUUUAUGGUUUGGCAUAACAAAUUCUUCAGUUCCUGCUGAUCCUCAGGCUUUGUUGCUAUUGUUUUGCUUCAUAUUGUGUUUUCACAUACCCUAUGCUAGAUUUGAUGGUCUAAUAUAUUAAUUAUAAUUAUCUGUUAUGCUCUAAUAUGUUCCAAAUGUUUAUUACAAGAUAUUAAGAUAUGCAACAAAGUACAAAGGAUUGGAGAAAUUCUUUUUUCAAAGUGCACCUUUAUUUAGGUUCUUUGUUUUAUCCCCUGAGAAAAAGUUAAUCUAAUUUGAUUUAGUAUUUUUCUUGAUAGGACUUAUCAAUAUCUAUCUUAUGAAUCUUUGUUGUACAAACCAACCAAUUGCUUUCUGCCUAGGGGCAGUUUUUGCUUAAUACGACUAAUGUAAAUGGUUUUGAUGCUUGUAGGUAGUAAAAUAUUUGCCGAAGGAGAAGUACCAAAUAUUAGAUUUUUGGUACAGGCUAGGAAGUGGUAAGUAAAGUACCAUUUUUUUUAGAAGUAUUAAAUUAUGCAUUUAUGCUUGGAGUGGUCAUUGACCGCAUUACAAUAUUUAAAUUACCAUUCUUGGAGUAUGAAAUUUUGUGAAGGUACCAUGUUUCCUUUAGAUUUAGAGUCAGUUUCUUUAGUAUUUUACCGAUUUUAGUAAAUUCAUCAAUAAGAGGUUGCAAGUCGAGGUUUAAUAGCAUUUGCUUUCACCCUAUUUCAUUGAAAGUUAUGAUUACUGAUGAAAUCAUUAUAAAUUUUUUCUCUACUUUGAUGGUGUCAUUUUUGAAUUACUCUUUAGACGUAGUAAUUUCUAAGAAAAUGAUGUACAUUGACUGAUUGUAGCUUUUGUUACUCGCUGUCCUAUCCUUGGAAUGAUGUAAUUGAAAUGGCUAAAAGAACCUCUAAGAUAAGAUCUUUGUAUAUAGAAAAAGAAUGUUCAUGUGCUGCAUCCCAGUUGUAAGUUUAAAUAGUGCCGCCCUAAUUUCUGAUCAAAAUGGUGGUGAUUACCCCUUAGCUUCUCCACCUUUUCUCAAUUAGACAACUAGAAUUUUCAACACCUUUAUGUAAAAAAGAAAAUUAAAAUCUCAGAAUUACAAAAGAGAAUAAAAUUGCUUUUCAGGAUUUAAAAAAUAAACUCUAACAAAUACCAAACUAAUAUAUUAAAAUUUCUUUGUAGCUUUUGCUUGAAUCUUUUGGAGCUUUUUAAGAAAGAAGAGAAAAUUUUCUUUUAGUUUAAAUUGAUGUCCUAUGUUCAUUCAUGUUGUCUAGGUGAAAAUGUGGCAUGAAUGAAAUAUAUCUACAUGAUUUAUAGGCUAAAUCUGUUCUUUAUUUAUUUACCUAGAAUUCAUGUUUGAGAAAAAAUUGGCUGGCAAGAGGUAUUUAUCCAAAUAUGAUGGUGGCUCAGAAUGCAUCUGUUGAUUAUUAGCUUUCUAUUCUUUAUUUAUAUAUCCAACAUUAAUGUUUGAGAAAAAGUUGAAUGGCGAGAGGCAUUAUUCAAAUAUAAUGGUGGCUCAAACUUAGGAGUAGGGAAUAUGUUCUUGACGACUUUGUUUUAUAUUUCAUGCUUUAGUAUUUCCUUAAAAUUUUGCAAUGAAGUUUGGCAAAAACUGCGGGUACGUUACCUGUGAUUUAACAAGAUUGUCAUUCUACUAUUUAUACAAAAUGUUAUUAAAUUCUAAUAUAAUUCAUUCUUGGCAGAUCUGAUUGAUAUUUAGAUAGCUGGAACUUGGAAGCAAAUGGAAGCUCAUGGAGUUUUGUCAUGAAUGCUUGAUGCUUUGUUUUCUCCUUUCCAAUAUCUUUAGCAAAAUUCAUUAGUUACUUCAACAGCCACUUGUUAUAGUAUAGAUGAUAUUUUUUUUUUUGGGUUCUUCACCACUAAUACAUAGUUCCACUAGAAUUGGCUACGCUAGAUAAGAAAAGAAGAGAGGCAAUUCUAGAUACAGUAGUCCGUACUUUUGGAUGAAUGUAUCUUAUAUCUUAAAUUGUACCUUUUCACAGGUAAUGAGAUACAUCGUACAAUUGGAGAGUUUACCUCAAUUAUGUGUUAUUAUGCUCUUCAACUUUAUUAGUAUUA